Molecule: ribosomal RNA, 593 nt
Filed under: uncultured bacterium
Lineage: Bacteria
Description: bacterial SSU rRNA
Rfam family: Bacterial small subunit ribosomal RNA
Source: RNAcentral
CCUACGGGAGGCAGCAGUGGGGAAUCUUGCGCAAUGGGCGAAAGCCUGACGCAGCCAUGCCGCGUGAAUGAUGAAGGUCUUAGGAUUGUAAAAUUCUUUCACCGGGGACGAUAAUGACGGUACCCGGAGAAGAAGCCCCGGCUAACUUCGUGCCAGCAGCCGCGGUAAUACGAAGGGGGCUAGCGUUGCUCGGAAUUACUGGGCGUAAAGGGAGCGUAGGCGGAUAGUUUAGUCAGAGGUGAAAGCCCAGGGCUCAACCUUGGAAUUGCCUUUGAUACUGGCUAUCUUGAGUAUGGGAGAGGUAUGCGGAACUCCGAGUGUAGAGGUGAAAUUCGUAGAUAUUCGGAAGAACACCAGUGGCGAAGGCGGCAUACUGGCCCAUUACUGACGCUGAGGCUCGAAAGCGUGGGGAGCAAACAGGAUUAGAUACCCUGGUAGUCCACGCUGUAAACGAUGAGUGCUAGUUGUCGGCAUGCAUGCAUGUCGGUGACGCAGCUAACGCAUUAAGCACUCCGCCUGGGGAGUACGGUCGCAAGNUUAAAACUCAAAGGAAUUGACGGCUGAGACGNGCGAGACGACGACGAGGGAGGAGG